AUUGAACGCUGGCGGCAGGCUUAACACAUGCAAGUCGAGCGGGGUGAUGGUGCUUGCACUAUCACUUAGCGGCGGACGGGUGAGUAAUGCUUAGGAAUCUGCCUAUUAGUGGGGGACAACAUCUCGAAAGGGAUGCUAAUACCGCAUACGUCCUACGGGAGAAAGCAGGGGAUCACUUGUGACCUUGCGCUAAUAGAUGAGACUAAGUCGGAUUAGCUAGUUGGUGGGGUAAAGGCCUACCAAGGCGACGAUCUGUAGCGGGUCUGAGAGGAGGAUCCGCCACAGUGGGACUGAGACACGGCCCAGACUCCUACGGGAGGCAGCAGUGGGGAAGAUUGGACAAUGGGGGGAACCCUGAUCCAGCCAUGCCGCGUGUGUGAAGAAGGCCUUAUGGUUGUAAAGCACUUUAAGCGAGGAGGAGGCUCUUUUGGUUAAUACCCAAGAUGAGUGGACGUUACUCGCAGAAUAAGCACCGGCUAACUCUGUGCCAGCAGCCGCAGUAA
This 503-nucleotide ribosomal RNA is filed under the name uncultured bacterium. Its description in RNAcentral is "partial 16S ribosomal RNA". It matches the Rfam family "Bacterial small subunit ribosomal RNA", at positions 30 to 523 of the family's 1533-position model. The record is from RNAcentral.